This is a long non-coding RNA of Carya illinoinensis, 738 nucleotides long. RefSeq lists it as uncharacterized. The transcript has 3 exons. NCBI's taxonomy places the organism in Eukaryota, Viridiplantae, Streptophyta, Magnoliopsida, Fagales, Juglandaceae. The record is from RefSeq and is a predicted model, not a curated record.
AUUUUUUAUUUUCAAAUCAGAAAGAAGACCACGGUCCACUAGUGUUGCCCGGAAAUCUACUUUCCCAAUUUGCUUUUGUGAGAGAGAGAGAGAGAGAGAGAGAGAGGGAGGGAGGAGGGAGGAACGAGAGUCACGAGACACAGGGCAUGGUUGAUCAUGAGCUCUAAUCAAAGAGAUGCUUGGACAGAGAGCUCAACUUUCACCCAAAAUUCCGCCCACUUAUCUUGUGCGAGCAAAUUUUUGGUGUUUAAUCAAAGAGUUCUUCUUUUUACCAUCUUUCUCUGCUCCUUUGAGAUCCUGCACUCUGUUCGACCUUGAGCGCAUAUUUCAUCAUGCUUCUAUUGAAGGAUGAGGGUGCCAUCACUUUGGUAUAUUUAGGCGGCAAUGGUUAUUUAAUGCUUCCACAAAAAUUCCUCCUGGAACUCUGGUAACUUCACAGCUAGACGUGAGUAUAACUCAUUUUGGAGGUCUGGGAUAUUGCUCAUUCUCACUUCCUAGAUUUAUUUUUUUAAAAUAGGUAUUCAUAAGGGAAAAAAAAAAGGCAUAGCCAAGUAGGCAGAUAGAACUUCUAAGUAGUUCUACAUGAUCAUUUUAUUUUUAUUUAUUGGAUAUUUAUAAUUUAUUUUUUCUAUUCUCUCUUUGUUAUUGUUAAUGGUGCUAAUAAUAAUAUUAUUAUUUAUAUCUGAACUAAUAUCUAAAAUCAUUUGGUUAAAAUCCCCAAGGAUGGGCUCUGUGUUA